UACGUAGGGUCCGAGCGUUGUCCGGAAUUAUUGGGCGUAAAGAGCUCGUAGGCGGUUUGUCGCGUCUGCUGUGAAAUCCCGAGGCUCAACCUCGGGCCUGCAGUGGGUACGGGCAGACUGGAGUGCGGUAGGGGAGAAUGGAAUUCCUGGUGUAGCGGUGAAAUGCGCAGAUAUCAGGAAGAACACCAAUGGCGAAGGCAGCUCUCUGGGACGGUACUGACGCUGAGACGCGAAAGCGUGGGGAGCGAACAGG
Molecule: ribosomal RNA, 253 nt
Filed under: uncultured bacterium
Lineage: Bacteria
Description: partial 16S ribosomal RNA
Rfam family: Bacterial small subunit ribosomal RNA
Source: RNAcentral